UCCUGGCUCAGGAUGAACGCUGGCGGCGUGCCUAACACAUGCAAGUCGAACGAAGCACUGCAACCGGAAUUCUUCGGAAGGAAAGAUGCAGUGACUGAGUGGCGGACGGGUGAGUAACGCGUGGGCAACCUGCCUUACACAGGGGGACAACAGCUGGAAACGGCUGCUAAUACCGCAUAUGCGCACAGGGCCGCAUGGUCUGGUGCGGAAAACUCCGGUGGUGUAAGAUGGGCCCGCGUCUGAUUAGGUAGUUGGCGGGGUAACGGCCCACCAAGCCGACGAUCAGUAGCCGGCCUGAGAGGGUGGACGGCCACAUUGGGACUGAGACACGGCCCAAACUCCUACGGGAGGCAGCAGUGGGGGAUAUUGCACAAUGGGCGCAAGCCUGAUGCAGCGACGCCGCGUGAGCGAAGAAGUAUUUCGGUAUGUAAAGCUCUAUCAGCAGGGAAGAAAAUGACGGUACCUGACUAAGAAGCUCCGGCUAAAUACGUG
Molecule: ribosomal RNA, 492 nt
Filed under: uncultured Lachnospiraceae bacterium
Lineage: Bacteria; Bacillati; Bacillota; Clostridia; Lachnospirales; Lachnospiraceae
Description: bacterial SSU rRNA
Rfam family: Bacterial small subunit ribosomal RNA
Source: RNAcentral